Molecule: long non-coding RNA, 212 nt
Organism: Ochotona curzoniae (black-lipped pika)
Lineage: Eukaryota; Metazoa; Chordata; Mammalia; Lagomorpha; Ochotonidae
Exons: 3
Source: RefSeq, a predicted model, not a curated record
AAGUUAUGAACUUGCUCGAGAAGCUGAAAUAUCGAAACAAGAGGUGAAAGAAUUUAAACAGAAAAUGACAUUUAUGCACACUGAAAUACUGGCAGAACAACCUAUCAAUGACAGUGCAAAUCACAUUGAGACGGAAAUGUGCUCUGCCAAUCUUGGAGACGAGAUAACCAAUGAUGACUGUUUGGAACAAGACAUGAAGAGUGACUCAGAAA